RNAcentral lists this long non-coding RNA (992 nucleotides) under Mus musculus (house mouse). RNAcentral's name for it is "lincRNA-EC48". The record is from RNAcentral. Lineage: Eukaryota; Metazoa; Chordata; Mammalia; Rodentia; Muridae.
CCUGUGUGAGGGAAGGGAGGGGGAGAGGAUGGGAGGAGCUUCCUGUGUGCAAGCCUGCAGGUGCGCCAGUGCUCAGCAGAGGGCACUGAAUGCUGCGGCACUCGGGUUAACAGAUGGUAGUGAGCUGUCUGAACUACUUAAAAUUUUCAGGUAAAAGGGCAGCAAGCAUUCUUAAACUGCUGAGCGGCCCUCUAGGUGUUCUUUGCUGGGGCAGGGGAGUUAGCAGGGAGGAAGUGGAGAGAACUGGGAGAGUUGAGACCCUCCUUCUGAGCGUUAAGCUGCAUGUAGAUAAUAUCUGCAGGUGUGGCACAAUUGAAAAGGCAGUGGCUUUCAGGCUAGUCACUGCACGGACUAGUAAGGCAGCUCUCUUGCUCCCAGCACCGUGCAUCUGAUUCUCCGUUCUCAGGGACCACCUGACAUGGUUAAACAGCCCUGGCUUAACGUUCCAGACACUGCUGCCAAUACUUGCGGCUGUUAGUUCCUGAUUUCUGCUUAAGGCUUUGCAGUUCUGCUUAUAGUCCUGUGAUCAGAGACACUUCCUCCUGUGGCAGCUGAAUUCCACGUUUCCCGAAACAGGAUUUCCCUAUUUUGUAGAGAACUUCCAUGAUUGAAUCUUCCUGCUUCUGGAAAUAAAAUGGGUAGUCCCUUGCAUACAAAGCUUGGAGGGUGUCUCUCAUUCUUCUCUUCUUCUGCUUUUUCUCAUCUACCUGAGAAUAAUUUUAAAUGGAUCGAAGGAAUGAAUGUCAGCCACCAAACUGAGAAGUUGACUUGCCUUUAAUCACCUGUAACUUUGUUAGAAUAAUAAAUUCUGUAGAAAGCUAAUCUCUGUGUUGUUUGUCUUUUGUUGUUUUGUUUUUUAAGUGGAUCAAAUAGUUUCCAAAUAACAUUGGCUAAGGUUUGAAUACUAAAUGUCUCCCUGAGGCCUAUGUGUCUUGCUAGGCAGCCUGUGACACUGUUGGUUGGGAAAGAGCAGGAACUUAAAGAUCUGGGAC